Drosophila sulfurigaster albostrigata is the source of this 2029-nucleotide long non-coding RNA. RefSeq lists it as uncharacterized. The transcript is spliced from 3 exons. Lineage: Eukaryota; Metazoa; Arthropoda; Insecta; Diptera; Drosophilidae. The record is from RefSeq and is a predicted model, not a curated record.
CUCCUAAGCAACGGCAAGUGUUUCAAAAGGAUAAAUCAUGUUUUGGACAAGCCAAAAGCAAUGAGUGGAAAAACAACAUAAAAUUAGUGUGCGUUUUAAUAAAUGUUCGCUUUUCUUAUAUAACUACAAAAUCGUAUUAAAGUAUAAGUUAAAUUAGUUCAACACAUAAAUAAUGAUUAAAAGGCAUUGAUAUGCAGCAUAUAUAACUCGUUGGCGAUCGAUUGUGAAUGUGAAUCAUUAGAAUAAUUAGCAAGUGUGAGCAGCUGCUGCCUGGGGAGUGAAAAUGUGCAAAACAACGAUGGGGACCCCCUCCUAUAAAUAAUAUGUGAGAUACGCUAACAAUCAUUGUCAGUAAGUGGUAAAUUCUUUCAUAUUAUCGGACAUUUAUUUGUGUGCAAACAGUGUCUGCAUGAGAAAGAAGUGCUUCAACAAAGUGCCAAAGAAUAUCGUGGAAAUCGAGGACUUUAUUGACCCCAAACAUCAUUAAGAAUUUUAGUAAUGGAAAAUUAAUUUAAAAACAGAAAAAACAUUGUCAAUUAAGUCUAUAUUCAAACUGGCUCUUUAGAUAUGUACCAAUAAAAUAGAAUCUGUGAGCUCCUUGUCGUACUGUAAAGAUACGUAGAAAAAGAAAAAGAGAGAAAGAGAGAGAGAGGAAAAGAAAACGAGAGACACAUUCAAUAACAAAAUCAUCUCACAAUACCAUGAAAUCGCAAAAACAAAAUGGACAAUCAUUAUGCACUUUGUACAUAGGACCUUAUAAAGCUUAUGUAUUACGUAUAAUUUUGACGAAACUUCAGUUGGGUGCAAAUUUUGAGCGAUUAAUUUUUUUUUCAUUUUAUUUUUUUUUUUUUAGGAAAAUAGCGCAAUCUACAAGCUUAUGAUUAUACCUAUAUUUUCAGAGUCAGGUCUGUUCUCAUACACAAUUUAGAAUAGAUUUUUUUUGUCUCCGAUUGUCAUUUUUUAAAUGAUUUUACGGAUUGAAUCUGCUUCAAUUAUUAUAAAUUUAGAGAAUAAUUUGCAAAAGCUUAGCAAAAGCCUGAACAGAUCUGAAUGUAUCAGAAAUAAUAAUAAUAUAAUGGAAAUAUAAAACUAUGGAACGUUGAAAGCUUUUGUAGAAGCCACGUCUUUUGGUGUGGGCUGUAACUAUAAAUUCUCUCUAGUAUUAUUACAAUUCUACUACUUACCGUUGUUCUUCAGAGCGGCAUCUUUCUCGGCCGUGAAAAUAUUUGAGGCCAUGCGAUUCUUCAUGGUUCGUGGAGUUUGAGGCAUGUCCGAGCCAAAAAUGUCACUUGAACCGCCGCCUGGUGUCCUCAACACCCUGCAAAAAUUGUAGAAAAAUUAAAAAAAAAAAGUUAGUAUUACAUUUAUAUAAAGCAUUACUAAUAUAAAUACAUAUUACAAGAGAAAAGCGGUUGUCCGUUGUUUAUUGAAGGAAAUCUGUAGACAAAAGUGCAACAGAGUUGCGCGCUGCGUCGCGGAAGUAACGUUUGCUGCAAGCUCAUUAUUAAUUAUGCAUAAACCAUGACAAGCGUGCCAAAUGAAAAUGCAUUUUAUAUACGCGGAACAGCCGAAUAAGACACCAGUCAUAAUUAUACUAUGCAUUUAUUGAAAAUGAGAGAAAAAAACUAUUAACCGUCGAGUCGUUUUAGCCAUAUUUGCUCGAACAAGUCGGACAACACAGGCAGAGAGAUAAUAAAUUGGUUAUGGAGUUGCAAGCAGACACAUCUUAGAUAAUACUGCUUAGCUGCAGCAGAUACUUCUGGAUGACACUGCUUAAUUUCACUGCUUGCAGUCGAAGAGUGCGCAAGCAGUUCAUCGACACCGAGUUUCCAAUGACUCACAAACUUUAUAAAAGAGAGUUUUAAAUUGUUUUCGGGAAUAACGGUUGACCUUUUAGCUUCAAUUUAAUUCCAUUUAAAAGCAAGAACAGUUUAGUAAAAUAAAAUGCGUUUUAAGGCGUCAGCACGUGGUGACAACAAAAUGCUGGCGCAAUGCAUUCGUAAUGGAAUAAUCAAUAAGUUUUUGGUAA